UGACAGACUGCUGCCACACCGGCUGGCUUGGUUGCUCUGAAUUGCAGGAAGCAGAGCUUCUUGGGAGAAAAUAAUGUCACUAGGAACUCAAUUUGACUCGGUUGAUUCUACACUUGCGGUCCUGAGAGCCGGAAGAGAUGCUGUGGAAAGAAGUAUGUUUAUGACUUUCCUUAUUAAUGAUGUCUACAGUUUUCAGUCCAUAACUUGACAUGUCUAGAUUCUUUUCUUACCACAUAGGUCACAAUAUUUUCUUUAAAGCAGCUGGGGAUAGCAGGAUAAGCCUCCAAUAUCCAAGAGCAAUGAUGUUGUAUUAUGGGGAUUGGAGCAUUGGCUUGGACAUUAAGUUCUCUUGAUGUCAGAACAAGGGCCAAAGGACACUGUGAGUCUCAAAUGACCAGCAACCCCAGCUCUAGGAUUCCACCCCCACCUCUUCUACAGGUAAACACACUCAUUAGUGUGUUAACUCACAGGCACAUGUGCUCACACACACAUGGACUAAC
Molecule: non-coding RNA, 500 nt
Organism: Cricetulus griseus (Chinese hamster)
Lineage: Eukaryota; Metazoa; Chordata; Mammalia; Rodentia; Cricetidae
Source: RefSeq, a predicted model, not a curated record